Molecule: ribosomal RNA, 253 nt
Filed under: uncultured bacterium
Lineage: Bacteria
Description: partial 16S ribosomal RNA
Rfam family: Bacterial small subunit ribosomal RNA
Source: RNAcentral
UACGAAGGGGGCUAGCGUUGCUCGGAAUGACUGGGCGUAAAGGGCGCGUAGGCGGCCAACUAAGUCGGAUGUGAAAUCCCCAGGCUCAACUUGGGAACUGCAUCCGAUACUGGAUGGCUUGAAUCCGGGAGAGGGAUGCAGAAUUCCAGGUGUAGCGGUGAAAUGCGUAGAUAUCUGGAGGAAUACCGGUGGCGAAGGCGGCAUCCUGGACCGGCAUUGACGCUGAUGAGCGAAAGCUAGGGGAGCAAACGGG